RNAcentral lists this ribosomal RNA (118 nucleotides) under uncultured bacterium. RNAcentral's name for it is "partial 16S ribosomal RNA". It matches the Rfam family "Bacterial small subunit ribosomal RNA", at positions 1367 to 1482 of the family's 1533-position model. The record is from RNAcentral.
UACGUUCCCGGGCCUUGUACACACCGCCCGUCACACCAUGGAAGCCGGUAACACCCGAAGCCGGUGGCCUAACCCGCAAGGGAGGGAGCCGUCGAAGGUGGGAUUGGUGACUGGGGUA